CUAUUUAUGAAGAGGCAGAUGAAAGAGGAAAGAAAGAGACGUAAGAUGAUGAAGAAAUUUGCUGCCGAGAUUAAAGAAUUUGCUAACGGGCAUAGUGAAAAUGUGGAAGAGGAGAGAAGUGAACCUGCUUCUGUUCCAGUUCCCAUGCCAGAUUUGUCUCUACCUGCAUCGUUCGACUCUGACAACCCUACUCACAGGUACCGGUCCCUUGAUUCCUCCAAUCAGUGGCUUGUUAGGCCAGUCCUGGAAACUCAGGGGUGGGAUCAUGAUGUUGGCUAUGAGGGUGUCAAUGCAGAACGACUUUUUGUUGUUAAAGAAAAGAUACCGAUAUCUUUCUCGGGGCAAGUUACAAAGGACAAGAAAGAUGCAAAUGUGCAGCUGGAAAUGGCCAGCUCGGUUAAACAUGGAGAGGGCAGAUCAACCUCCCUAGGUUUUGAGAUGCAAAAUGCUGGGAAGGAAUUGGCUUACACUGUUCGAAGUGAUACCAAAUUUAACAAUUUUAGGAAACACAAAGCUGCAGCUGGUCUCUCUGUAACGCUCUUGGGUGAUUCGGUGUCUGCGGGGCUGAAAGUUGAGGAUAAGUUGAUUGCUAAUAAAAGGUUCAGAAUGGUUAUGUGUGGAGGGGCAAUGACUAGUCGAGGAGAUGUUGCUUAUGGGGGUAGUUUAGAAGCUCAGCUGAGAGAUAAAGAUUAUCCGCUGGGUAGGUUUUUAUCUACUCUAGGACUUUCUGUGAUGGAUUGGCAUGGGGAUCUUGCUAUUGGAGGGAAUAUACAGUCCCAGGUGCCCAUAGGACGUUCAUCUAAUCUAAUAGCUCGUGCUAAUCUGAACAACAGAGGGGCAGGGCAAGUAAGCCUCCGCGUAAAUAGCUCUGAGCAGCUCCAACUUGCACUGGUCGCAUUGGUUCCUCUGUUCAAGAAGCUACUUAGUUAUUAUUCCCCUCAGCAAAUGGAAUAUUGACAAUAAUGGAUCACUUCGGGUUUCAAUUCACUUACUACAAGAACAUCCUAGAUUGAGAGUUGAAAAGGUACUAAUCUAUCUGCUUUUGCUUUCUUAUUCCAUUUGCUGUAAACCCGCUUUAUUGAUUGCUGAUGUGGCUUUUUGUUUUUGAGCAGGAACCUUGGUGUGCCCUUUGGGUUGAAAACUUUAAGAACAAUUUGUUGGAGGAGGCCUCUGUUUUCUUUACAUAGCCAGAACACUUGUUCGUUCCUUGUCUAAUUUAAGCAUAGUUGUGGUUUUAUUCUCUUUCCAAAACCUUUGUAUGGCUUUCUGUUCAUGUCUACCUCUGGAUUUUUCAUAAAGCUUGUUAAAAUUAUGCUGCAAUCUACUUGUUGAUUUUAAGACACCCAUCAUCACCCUCUGAGCUAGCCGUAAUUCAAGGCUUUUAAAGGGAGUUUUGUAGGGGUCCUUAUCAUCUGCUAAACGUCUUUUAAUGUUGUCAAGCAUCUAUUGUAAGCUGCUUUGGAAAGUCAAAGUUGCUGGUAACUUUUGUUGCGCCAGUUCGUAUUAUGCGUCUUUCCCUCAAAUCAAAAGAUUCUGUUGUUGAUACUGUUACUGCGAAUCUCACAUUGUCACGUUGAGUCCCACCAAAUCCAUUGGUUUGGUGCUCAUGCAAUCCAUCUGCGAGACUUCUGUUACACAAUUUGCUCUUGUUAGCAGCGAGAUGUGGUAGCUUUGGUCUUGUUGUCAUUAUAAAAGCUUCUGUGGUGGAAAUACCGUUUGGAUUUGCCAGUUCUUAACGGAAGAGAUUAUCUAUGUGAAAGUUGUCACUGCAUGUUUUGACUUGUCUAAUAUUGUCGAGUAGGAAGCUUUUAAUGGGAGAAGAUGGUAGACAAGAAGUUUACAGUGUUGGGCUGCAAGAGUAUGAAGUCUCAGAUGUUCAAAUUGUAAGGUACUUAUCGAGAAAGGGAACGCUGAAAGGAGCACAGGGUCAACUGGAGCAAAUGGGGAGUCAUCUAGAUCACAUGCUAUCUUACAACUUGUUGGAAAGAAACACGUUUUGAGGUAAAAGAAACCAGACGUAAAAAUGAUGAUGCCAAUGAAUUGCCUGGGAAAGUUGUUGGGAAGAGUACUUUCAUUGAUCUUGCUGGCAGUGAAAGAGGUGCAGACACCACAGACAAUGACCGCCAGACAAGGUGAGAAUGCUCUCUAGACCUCGUGGCUGAGUACUGAUGUGGGACCCACAAAUGACGCUGGAGAUGAUGUCAUGGCACGCUGGCAAUGAUCAGCGUUAUCUUUCAAACCUUCUGAUGCAGGUUCUUUGCUUUCCCUGAGUCUUUCUUUCCAUUACACUCUUCCAAUAACUUGCAUGCCUUGUAGGUGGUAAUUGCCAAUGUUUUGUUAGAGCUUUGGUUCGCUGAAUGCUGAGUAUGAAUGUAAGCUUGGAAUCUUUUUGACCAUCCUUGUGAAUUGUGCUUAUCUUGCUAGAAUUUGUUUCAGGGCAUGUUAGUAAUUUAUCUCUUUCGAUUGGUAAUUUUCUUAGCUAUAGAAACUUUACUGGCUGGCUGCUUUGUGUUUGUUUUUGCUGUAUCUGCCACGGUUAUGGAGCUCAGACUGCUGGAGAGAAUCAAAAGCUUUUCAAACUAAUGUGAAAUCUGAAUCUCAACGGAGAGUACUCUGAAUCAUAUAUACACCAUCAGCAGCUAUGCCUUCUUCGGAAGGAUUUUUUUUCCACCCGAGUUCAGAGAUGAUUUUGGAGCUUGUUUGAUGGGAUCUUCAUGCAGUGGAUGACUCAGAGCUUCUCUCUGAGGUACGUUUGGAAGGACAACUAGACAUAGAUCAUUCAUAGUUAUGUUGAUUGGUAUGUUCUGUAGAAACUAUAGCCUCUCUUGAAACUAAUUCUCAGCUUCUCUUAACUUCAGACCGUGAAGAGAAAGUGUCACCACCUCGUGGGAAAGGGUUGCGGGAAGAAAAACCAGCCAGACCACAAAACUUGUCUAAGAGAGACGUCAGGUCGUCAGAUAUCCCCUACCUUUACAAACUUUAGGCAGACACAAGUAAGCCAUACAUAUAUAUAUAUUAUAUAUAUAACCGACCCUUCACUUGAUGAAAACAUCGAUGCACUGUUUGAGGUAAAAUUUAACCAAUUUAGUAAGCCAUACAUAUAUAUAUAUAUAUAUAAAACAAUCACGUUUGUAAUAGCUAAUAUAAAAUAUUUGCGACUGACAAUAAUAGAAAAGACAGGUGAGUAACUCCAAGAAAGAAGAAAACAAGUAUCUGUCUCGUGUAGUGAUGGCAAAAAGGCCAACAAGAUUUAGCAGCCCACCUAAAAGGCCUUGGCCCACUUCAUGUUUCCACCGUACGAUGCUUAAACCCAAAACGGAUAUCCACCGUCCCUGGAAAGCUCUUAUCUCCCUCCUCCUCCACCUUCCCCGUCAGAAGUUUGCCUCUCUCCCUCUCUCUCUCUAAACGAGGUUAGCUUUCUCUUUUUUUUUGUAUAAGCUUUUAGGGGUUUCACUUUCAAUGAUAGAGACGAGUAUUCUAGAGUUUCGUUUCUGCUCUAAUUUUAUCGUUAGGGUUAAGCCUUUUUAGUCUGAUUGAUUCGUGAUUUCGUUUUGUUUAUGGUUGUAAGUAGGUAUGGAAGAGAAGAAGCUUGCAGACGAUGGAAACAGCGAUGAGCAAGUAGAGAAAAUUGAAUUGGUGGUUUCUGAUGUUGAUGCGAGGGAUACCGAAGAUGAGGAAGCUAUUGACAGUUCAAAGCCUGAAUCUCUCCAACCCGAUGAUUUACCUUCAGAGGAAGUGAAAGAUCCAAAGGAGGUUAAUGGAGAGAGCCAUGGUGAGGCAAACCUGCAACAUAUAACUACGGGAGAGGCUGUACCAGGUUUUGUGACUUCCCGAAUGAAUGGUGAUGAAGGGGAAGCAGGUGCAGGGAAUGUCAGCGAGACAUCCACACAUUCUUUUUCUGAAAAUGGAACUGUCUUUCUUGAGAAGAAACAGCUGGUGGCUGAAGUGAUCGAGGAAACAACAAAUGAUGGUAUUGAAGAGGAAAACAAGGAGGAAACUGUUGAUGUAUCUGGGGCACAAAGAAAUGGUGAACGUGCUUCAGGUGAGAGAUCUUUCAAUGAUAGUAUUCAAGUAGCUUCUGCUGGGACCUCAUCUCCGUUGGAGAAAUCUAGUUCUGAGGAAAAUGGAGAGACUGAAGGUCGCAUCAGUAGAGAUCAUGAUACAGUUCAAAAUGGAGGACUUGGUGUUGAACAUACUUCUCUACCUAAUAAGGAUUUUGAGAAGCAGCAAGGCAGCAGAGUGAAUAUUAUGAGUCCAGAGAUUCAGGAAAGAAAAUCUGAGGUAGCAAUUUCUGUUUCCCCAACAGAGUCUACAAGUCCUGCUCGCCCAGCAGGCCUUGGGCGUGAUGCUCCUCUUUUGGAAUCCACACCACGUGUUCUUCAUCAGCCUCGUGUCAAUGGUAAUGUGUCUCAGAAUCAAUUAUAUUUUUGUGUUUAAAAACUAUUUUUAAACUAUUUCAGCAAGAAUUCAACUGGAAUUCCGAUGAUACGCUCUCUAUCUAUCACCAUUUUGUCCAUAAAGUUAUGGACAACUAUGGGAAGCAGAUGUACGAGUGGAAGAAGAAGUGGGAAGCAAACAAGGUAGUUUUUAAUUUAUUAACAAUUUUUAAUUUAUUAAACUAUUUUUUAAAAAAAUUAAAAGGUUCCAAAGUCGAUGAACGACACGGUGACAGGAUCCACUUGAUUUUUCUUGUACAGUUAUGGUGCUCGGUAAAAGUGGUGUUGGUAAGAGUGCUACGAUUAAUUCUAUUUUUGAUGAAGUGAAGAUCUGUACGGAUGCAUUCCAGAUGGGGACAAAGAGGGUUCAGGAGGUUGAGGGUUUUGUUCAGGGAAUUAAGGUUCGGGUGAUUGACACUCCAGGCCUCUUACCAUCAUGGUCUGAUCAACACAAAAAUGAGAAAAUGUUGAAGUCUGUUAAGGUUGAACGAGCAGAUGAUGGAGAUGAUGAGGAGGAUGUACCCGAACGAGGUGUUCCCGAACAUUCAAGACCAGUAGUUUUUUUUUUUUACCAAAAACUCGGAAUGUUUUAUUUAACUUUGAAUAUUAUCUACUAUGUUUUCAAUUUUAAUUUUAAUUUUAAAUUUUCGAAUUUAAAUUUAAAAAUUUAAAUUUUUUUAAAAAAAUUCCGAAAUUCCGAGGGAAAGAAGUUCCUCGGAAUUUUCCGAGGGAAAGAUGUUCCUCGGAAUUUUUCGAGAGCCAGGUUCCGCGGAAAAGUGUGGAAGCCUCAUUUGCUGUUACUCUCAUUUGCGUCCAAGAUUCUAGCAGAAGCAAACGCUCUUCUGAAAUUACAAGAUAAUAAUACUCCAGGGAGACCAUUUGUAGCUCGAUCCAAGGCUCCACCACUGCCACUUCUCCUCUCAUCGUUUCUGCAAUCAAGACCGCAAGCUAAACUUCCUGAAGAGCAGUAUGGUGAUGAAGAAGAUGAAGAUGAUUUGGAUGAAUCAUCAGGUUCUGACGAAGAAUCAGAGUACGACCAGCUUCCUCCUUUUAAGCGAUUGACUAAAGCUGAGAUGGCUAGGCUUAGUAAAUCUCAGAAGAAGCAAUAUCUUGAUGAGAUGGAGUACCGGGAGAAACUAUUUAUGAAGAGGCAGAUGAAAGAGGAAAGAAAGAGACGUAAGAUGAUGAAGAAAUUUGCUGCCGAGAUUAAAGAAUUUGCUAACGGGCAUAGUGAAAAUGUGGAAGAGGAGAGAAGUGAACCUGCUUCUGUUCCAGUUCCCAUGCCAGAUUUGUCUCUACCUGCAUCGUUCGACUCUGACAACCCUACUCACAGGUACCGGUCCCUUGAUUCCUCCAAUCAGUGGCUUGUUAGGCCAGUCCUGGAAACUCAGGGGUGGGAUCAUGAUGUUGGCUACGAAGGU
This 5857-nucleotide long non-coding RNA is filed under the name Brassica napus (rape). Its description in RNAcentral is "long non-coding RNA (BNAP_LNC004626)". Lineage: Eukaryota; Viridiplantae; Streptophyta; Magnoliopsida; Brassicales; Brassicaceae. The record is from RNAcentral.